Molecule: ribosomal RNA, 301 nt
Filed under: uncultured bacterium
Lineage: Bacteria
Description: partial 16S ribosomal RNA
Rfam family: Bacterial small subunit ribosomal RNA
Source: RNAcentral
CAGUCGCCGCGGGAAUACGUAGGUGGCAAGCGUUGUCCGGAAUUAUUGGGCGUAAAGGGCGCGUAGGCGGCGAUCAAAGUCAGGCGUGAAAUUCCUGGGCUCAACCUGGGGGCUGCGCUUGAUACUUGGUUGCUUGAGUGGGGAAGAGGGUCGUGGAAUUCCCAGUGUAGAGGUGAAAUUCGUAGAUAUUGGGAAGAACACCGGUGGCGAAGGCGGCGACCUGGUCCUUUACUGACGCUGAGGCGCGAAAGCGUGGGGAGCAAACAGGAUUAGAUACCCCGGUAGUCCCUGUCUCUUAUAC